GUUGUUUCUAUGAGAUCGCUUGCUUGGGCGUGUGCUCAGAACCUGCUGUGAUUGUCGCGUGGCAGCAGCCGCCCAGUUCGUGAGACUCUGACCGAGAGAACAGCCACAGCCCAGACAGUGUUUGGUGACAUAAAACAAAGGGUAGUCGCCUGCCAUCCUGGAUUCUUCGCUACAGAAGCUUUGGCUCCUCAGUGGACACCCAGACUCACUCUUACAUGCUCAGGAGGAUGUCAUUUGGGACCCACCUUGCCCAUUGCACCUUAUGCAAGUGGGACUCCUGGGAGAAAGACUCCAUGUUCCAGUUCGUGUGACUCACGUGAUCACCUCAUGGGCAUAAUCAGGGCCUCAGUAAACAGCCCUUGUAAAAGCAGCCUUUUAUCUACCUGCCUUCAGAGCUGCUGGGGCGGGACAUGCACGAGAAACCUGAACACAAUGUUUUUAA
This is a long non-coding RNA of Mastomys coucha (southern multimammate mouse), 442 nucleotides long. RefSeq lists it as uncharacterized. NCBI's taxonomy places the organism in Eukaryota, Metazoa, Chordata, Mammalia, Rodentia, Muridae. The transcript has 2 exons. The record is from RefSeq and is a predicted model, not a curated record.